CGACAUCCCGCCCCUGCUUGCGUACAUGGGAAACUGACCGGUCAUAAAUAAACUUUGAGGGGCGUCGACAGCAACAACCAAGCGUUGAUGCCGAUGCUGUAGAGAGUGUUAGCUGUUCCUGCAGGAGGCGGAGGACAGUGUGCGGCGAUCGAAUUAACCUGAAACAUGACCUUGCAGAACCUAGGGACAGAGUCUCCGCGCCUCCGAAUUCAGCUUCCACGCCACUCUGAAGCCAUCUUUGAUGGGCAGGUACCUGGUAAGCGCAAAAACUAGUGUGCCUCACGCAGGCCGCGGAGCCGCAUAGGUAUGGAAAAU
Molecule: long non-coding RNA, 315 nt
Filed under: Setaria italica (foxtail millet)
Lineage: Eukaryota; Viridiplantae; Streptophyta; Magnoliopsida; Poales; Poaceae
Description: long non-coding RNA (SITA_LNC007146)
Source: RNAcentral